AUUGAACGCUGGCGGCAGGCCUAACACAUGCAAGUCGAGCGGAGCGGCGGACGGGUGAGUAAUGCCUAGGAAUCUGCCUGGUCGUGGGGGAUAACGUCCGGAAACGGGCGCUAAUACCGCAUACUAUCAGAUGAGUCUAGGUCGGAUUGGCUAGUUGGUGGGGUAAAGGCCUACCAGGGCGACGAUCCGUAACUGGUAUGAGAGGAUGACCAGCCAAACGGGAACGGAGACAGGGCCAAAAUUCCUACGGGAGGCAGCAGUGGGGAAUAUUGGACAAUGGGCGCAAGCCUGAUGCAGCCAUGCCGCGUGUAUGAAGAAGGCCUUCGGGUUGUAAAGUACGUUCAGCGGGGAGGCGUUACCCGCAGAAAAAGCACCGGCUAACUCCGUGCCAGCAGCCGCGGUAAUAC
This 407-nucleotide ribosomal RNA is filed under the name uncultured bacterium. RNAcentral describes it as "partial 16S ribosomal RNA". It matches the Rfam family "Bacterial small subunit ribosomal RNA", at positions 29 to 526 of the family's 1533-position model. The record is from RNAcentral.